GAUGAACGCUAGCGGCAGGCUUAACACAUGCAAGUCGAGGGGUAACAUAAGUGCUUGCACUUGAUGACGACCGGCGCACGGGUGCGUAACGCGUAUAGAAUCUACCUUAUACUAGGGGAUAGCCUUUGGAAACGAAGAUUAAUACCCUAUAGUAAGUAUUUAUGGCAUCAUUUAUACUUUAAAGGUUACGGUAUAAGAUGACUAUGCGUCCUAUUAGUUUGUUGGUGAGGUAACGGCUCACCAAGACUUCGAUAGGUAGGGGCCCUGAGAGGGGGAUCCCCCACACUGGUACUGAGACACGGACCAGACUCCUACGGGAGGCAGCAGUGAGGAAUAUUGGACAAUGGAGGAAACUCUGAUCCAGCCAUGCCGCGUGCAGGAUGACGGCCCUAUGGGUUGUAAACUGCUUUUAUGUAGGAAGAAACACUCUCACGUGUGAGAGCUUGACGGUACUACAAGAAUAAGGACCGGCUAACUCCGUG
Molecule: ribosomal RNA, 482 nt
Filed under: uncultured bacterium
Lineage: Bacteria
Description: bacterial SSU rRNA
Rfam family: Bacterial small subunit ribosomal RNA
Source: RNAcentral